This 233-nucleotide ribosomal RNA is filed under the name uncultured bacterium. RNAcentral describes it as "partial 16S ribosomal RNA". It matches the Rfam family "Bacterial small subunit ribosomal RNA", at positions 15 to 245 of the family's 1533-position model. The record is from RNAcentral.
GAUCAUGCUCAGGAUGAACGCUAGCGACAGGCUUAACACAUGCAAGUCGAGGGGCAGCACAGGUAGCAAUACCGGGUGGCGACCGGCGCACGGGUGAGUAACGCGUAUGCAACUUACCUAUCAGAGGGGGAUAACCCGGCGAAAGUCGGACUAAUACCGCAUGAAGCAGGGGCCCCGCAUGGGGAUAUUUGCUAAAGAUUCAUCGCUGAUAGAUAGGCAUGCGUUCCAUUAGG